CGAAUACUCCCUCCAUUCGAAAUUACUUGUCGCUCAAACGGGUGUAUCUAGCUCUAAAAUAGUGUUAGAUACAUCCGUUUGAGCUACAAGUAAUUCCGGACGUAGGGAGUAUAAG
This is a non-coding RNA of Triticum aestivum (bread wheat), 115 nucleotides long. The record is from Rfam. Lineage: Eukaryota; Viridiplantae; Streptophyta; Magnoliopsida; Poales; Poaceae.